CCUACGGGUGGCAGCAGUGAGGAAUAUUGGUCAAUGGACGAGAGCCUGAACCAGCCAAGUAGCGUGAAGGAUGACUGCCCUAUGGGUUGUAAACUUCUUUUAUAUGGGAAUAAAAUGUUCCACGUGUGGGAUUCUGUAUGUACCCUAUGAAUAAGGAUCGGCUAACUCCGUGCCAGCAGCCGCGGUAAUACGGAGGAUCCGAGCGUUAUCCGGAUUCAUUGGGUUUUAAGGGAGCGUAGGCGGAUCGUUAAGUCAGUUGUGAAAUUUUGCGGCUCAACCGUACAAUAGCAGUUGAAACUGGGAGUCUGGAGUGCAGUAGAGGUGGGCGGAAUGCGUGGUGUAGCGGUGAAAUGCUUAGAUAUCGCGAAGAACUCCGAUUGCGAAGGCAGCGCGCUGGACUGCAACUGACACUGAGGCUCGAAAGUGUGGGGAUCGAACAGGAUUAGAUACCCGGGUAGUC
This 460-nucleotide ribosomal RNA is filed under the name uncultured bacterium. RNAcentral's name for it is "partial 16S ribosomal RNA". It matches the Rfam family "Bacterial small subunit ribosomal RNA", at positions 338 to 795 of the family's 1533-position model. The record is from RNAcentral.